Molecule: ribosomal RNA, 402 nt
Filed under: uncultured bacterium
Lineage: Bacteria
Description: bacterial SSU rRNA
Rfam family: Bacterial small subunit ribosomal RNA
Source: RNAcentral
UGGGGAAUCUUGGUCAAUGGGCGCAAGCCUGAUCCAGCCAUGCCGCGUGAGUGAAGAAGGCCUUAGGGUUGUAAAGCUCUUUUGGCAGGGACGAUAAUGACGGUACCUGCAGAAUAAGCCCCGGCAAACUUCGUGCCAGCAGCCGCGGUAAUACGAAGGGGGCUAGCGUUGUUCGGAUUUACUGGGCGUAAAGCGCACGUAGGCGGAUUGUUAAGUCAGGGGUGAAAUCCCGGAGCUCAACUCCGGAACUGCCUUUGAUACUGGCAAUCUUGAGGCUGGAAGAGGUUGGUAGAAUUCCCAGUGUAGAGGUGAAAUUCGUAGAUAUUGGGAAGAAUACCAGUGGCGAAGGCGGCCAACUGGUCCAGAUCUGACGCUGAGGUGCGAAAGCGUGGGGAGCAAACA